GACGAACGCUGGCGGCGCGCCUAACACAUGCAAGUCGAACGGAGCUUAGAGAGCUUGCUUUUUAAGCUUAGUGGCGAACGGGUGAGUAACGCGUGAGUAACCUGCCCUAGAGUGGGGGACAACAGUUGGAAACGACUGCUAAUACCGCAUAAGCCCACGGUACCGCAUGGUACUGAGGGAAAAGGAUUUAUUCGCUUUAGGAUGGACUCGCGUCCAAUUAGCUAGUUGGUGAGGUAAUGGCCCACCAAGGCGACGAUUGGUAGCCGGACUGAGAGGUUGAACGGCCACAUUGGGACUGAGACACGGCCCAGACUCCUACGGGAGGCAGCAGUGGGGGAUAUUGCACAAUGGGGGAAACCCUGAUGCAGCGACGCCGCGUGGAGGAAGAAGGUUUUCGGAUUGUAAACUCCUGUCGUUAGGGACGAUAAUGACGGUACCUAACAAGAAAGCAC
RNAcentral lists this ribosomal RNA (452 nucleotides) under uncultured bacterium. Its description in RNAcentral is "bacterial SSU rRNA". It matches the Rfam family "Bacterial small subunit ribosomal RNA", at positions 28 to 493 of the family's 1533-position model. The record is from RNAcentral.